UGCAGUCGAGCGGAAAGGCCCUUCGGGGUACUCGAGCGGCGAACGGGUGAGUAACACGUGAGCAACCUGCCCCUGACUCUGGGAUAAGCCUGGGAAACCGGGUCUAAUACCGGAUAUGACACGCCUUCGCAUGGGGUGCGUGUGGAAAGUUUUUUCGGUUGGGGAUGGGCUCGCGGCCUAUCAGCUUGUUGGUGGGGUAGUGGCCUACCAAGGCGACGACGGGUAGCCGGCCUGAGAGGGCGACCGGCCACACUGGGACUGAGACACGGCCCAGACUCCUACGGGAGGCAGCAGUGGGGAAUAUUGCGCAAUGGGCGGAAGCCUGACGCAGCGACGCCGCGUGGGGGAUGACGGCCUUCGGGUUGUAAACCUCUUUCAGCAGGGACGAAGGUGACGUGUACCUGCAGAAGAAGCGCCGGCUAACUACGUGCCAGCAGCCGCGGUAAUACGUAGGGCGCAAGCGUUGUCCGGAAUUAUUGGGCGUAAAGAGCUCGUAGGUGGCUUGUCGCGUCGGGUGUGAAAGCGUGGGGCUUAACUCCAGGUCUGCAUUCGAUACGGGCUGGCUAGAGGUAGGUAGGGGAGAACGGAAUUCCUGGUGUAGCGGUGAAAUGCGCAGAUAUCAGGAGGAACACCGGUGGCGAAGGCGGUUCUCUGGGCCUUACCUGACGCUGAGGAGCGAAAGCGUGGGGAGCGAACAGGAUUAGAUACCCUGGUAGUCCACGCUG
This 725-nucleotide ribosomal RNA is filed under the name Streptosporangium sp. YIM 63554. RNAcentral's name for it is "bacterial SSU rRNA". It matches the Rfam family "Bacterial small subunit ribosomal RNA", at positions 56 to 802 of the family's 1533-position model. Lineage: Bacteria; Bacillati; Actinomycetota; Actinomycetes; Streptosporangiales; Streptosporangiaceae. The record is from RNAcentral.